Long non-coding RNA from Rhinolophus ferrumequinum (greater horseshoe bat), 304 nucleotides. RefSeq lists it as uncharacterized. Lineage: Eukaryota; Metazoa; Chordata; Mammalia; Chiroptera; Rhinolophidae. The transcript is spliced from 3 exons. The record is from RefSeq and is a predicted model, not a curated record.
UCAGUGAGCUCCUUCAGGACCAUUUUUGCACACACCUUUCUCAUGCCAAGAUUGUCAGCUCAGACAUUCUCGUGAUGGGACACAAAAAUGGGCAACAACAAUGAAUACCGCUCAGCAAGACACCACCAUAUGUUGACACGAACACAUCUGUGACACACCAAUAUACCAAGAUUAUGAUGUACCUUACUGCAAUAUUAUUCCUAGAUUUGGAACUAUACAUAUCUCUGUUUUAAAUAAGACACGGUGCCUUUUCAAGGAUAAUAGAGACAAGUAGAAGAGAAAAAACAAAAAUCAAAUAUAAUAU